Syzygium oleosum is the source of this 528-nucleotide long non-coding RNA. RefSeq lists it as uncharacterized. Lineage: Eukaryota; Viridiplantae; Streptophyta; Magnoliopsida; Myrtales; Myrtaceae. The transcript is spliced from 2 exons. The record is from RefSeq and is a predicted model, not a curated record.
CUUUCAUUCCAUUUGGAGCAGGAAGCAGGUCUUGCCCAGGAAGCGACUUGGCCAAGCUUGAGAUGUCCAUCUUUCUACACUAUUCUCUCCUUAACUAUGAGGUAGAGCAAACUAAUCCUAAGUGCCCUAUCAAUUACCUCCCUUCACCGAAACCUUCAGAUAAUUUCAUGGCAAAGUUCAAAAGACUCGGUUCAGAUUCUAGGGAUGUAUGAAAAUAUGGCUUUCAGGUUUUUCCUUAAAUGUGGUUUUACUGGAAGCUAAUCAUCAUCUUCCUUCAUGAUCCAUAUGGACAGUGCAUAUGCUGCGUCAUCACAGGUGCAGCUAAGAGUUUCUGUUACAUAGAUCAUUCUAGGGAUGUGAAUUGCUUCAGAUGCAUCAGGUCGAAUCUUGCAAAGAUUGAAUAGCCAGAACUGCUAAAGCAUGUUUUAUCUUUUGGUCAUUCAAUAUCAACAUCACAAGUUCAUGCAAUCAGCUGUAUUUUGGAAUCCUUCAGCCUUUUCUUUUGGUUUGUCUUCAUAAUCUUUUAAA